AUUGAACGCUGGCGGCAUGCUUUACACAUGCAAGUCGAACGGUAACAGGUCUUCGGAUGCUGACGAGUGGCGAACGGGUGAGUAAUACAUCGGAACGUGCCUAGUAGUGGGGGAUAACUACUCGAAAGAGUAGCUAAUACCGCAUGAGAUCUACAGAUGAAAGCAGGGGACCUUCGGGCCUUGUGCUACUAGAGCGGCUGAUGGCAGAUUAGGUAGUUGGUGGGGUAAAGGCUUACCAAGCCUGCGAUCUGUAGCUGGUCUGAGAGGACGACCAGCCACACUGGGACUGAGACACGGCCCAGACUCCUACGGGAGGCAGCAGUGGGGAAUUUUGGACAAUGGGCGAAAGCCUGAUCCAGCAAUGCCGCGUGCAGGAUGAAGGCCCUCGGGUUGUAAACUGCUUUUGUACGGAACGAAAAGCCUGGGGCUAAUAUCCCCGGGUCAUGACGGUACCGUAAGAAUAAGCACCGGCUAACUACGUG
RNAcentral lists this ribosomal RNA (482 nucleotides) under uncultured bacterium. Its description in RNAcentral is "partial 16S ribosomal RNA". It matches the Rfam family "Bacterial small subunit ribosomal RNA", at positions 30 to 507 of the family's 1533-position model. The record is from RNAcentral.